RNAcentral lists this ribosomal RNA (1012 nucleotides) under Helminthosporium velutinum. RNAcentral's name for it is "SSU rRNA". It matches the Rfam family "Eukaryotic small subunit ribosomal RNA", at positions 75 to 1096 of the family's 1831-position model. Lineage: Eukaryota; Fungi; Ascomycota; Dothideomycetes; Pleosporales; Massarinaceae. The record is from RNAcentral.
UAUACCGUGAAACUGCGAAUGGCUCAUUAAAUCAGUUAUCGUUUAUUUGAUAGUACCUUACUACUUGGAUACCUGUGGUAAUUCUAGAGCUAAUACAUGCUAAAAACCCCGACUUCGGAAGGGGUGUAUUUAUUAGAUAAAAAACCAAUGCCCUUCGGGGCUCCUUGGUGAUUCAUAAUAACUUCUCAGAUCGCAUGGCCUUGCGCCGGCGACGGUUCAUUCAAAUUUCUGCCCUAUCAACUUUCGAUGGUAAGGUAUUGGCUUACCAUGGUUUCUACGGGUAACGGGGAAUUAGGGUUCGAUUCCGGAGAGUUAGCCUGAGAAACGGCUAACACAUCCAAGGAAGGCAGCAGGCGCGCAAAUUACCCAAUCCUGAUACAGGGAGGUAGUGACAAUAAAUACUGAUACAGGGCUCUUUUGGGUCUUGUAAUCGGAAUGAGUACAAUUUAAACCUCUUAACGAGGAACAAUUGGAGGGCAAGUCUGGUGCCAGCAGCCGCGGUAAUUCCAGCUCCAAUAGCGUAUAUUAAAGUUGUUGCAGUUAAAAAGCUCGUAGUUGAACCUUUGGCCUGGCUGGCAGGUCCGCCUCACCGCGUGCACUUGUCCGGCCGGGCCUUUUCUUCUGGAGAACCGCAUGCCCUUCACUGGGUGUGUUGGGGACCAGGACUUUUACUUUGAAAAAAUUAGAGUGUUCAAAGCAGGCCUUUGCUCGAAUAUUACAGCAUGGAAUAAUAAAAUAGGACGUGCGGUUCUAUUUUGUUGGUUUCUAGGACCGCCGUAAUGAUUAAUAGGGACAGUCGGGGGCAUCAGUAUUCAAUUGUCAGAGGUGAAAUUCUUGGAUUUAUUGAAGACUAACUACUGCGAAAGCAUUUGCCAAGGAUGUUUUCAUUAAUCAGUGAACGAAAGUUAGGGGAUCGAAGACGAUCAGAUACCGUCGUAGUCUUAACCAUAAACUAUGCCGACUAGGGAUCGGGCGGUGUUAUUAUUUUGACUCGCUCGGCACCUUACGAGAA